GACGAACGCUGGCGGCGUGCCUAAUACAUGCAAGUAGAACGCUGAAGAGAGGAGCUUGCUCUUCUUGAAUGAGUUGCGAACGGGUGAGUAACGCGUAGGUAACCUGCCUUGUAGCGGGGGAUAACUAUUGGAAACGAUAGCUAAUACCGCAUAACAAUGGGUGACACAUGUCAUUUAUUUGAAAGGGGCAAUUGCUCCACUACAAGAUGGACCUGCGUUGUAUUAGCUAGUAGGUGAGGUAACGGCUCACCUAGGCGACGAUACAUAGCCGACCUGAGAGGGUGAUCGGCCACACUGGGACUGAGACACGGCCCAGACUCCUACGGGAGGCAGCAGUAGGGAAUCUUCGGCAAUGGGGGCAACCCUGACCGAGCAACGCCGCGUGAGUGAAGAAGGUUUUCGGAUCGUAAAGCUCUGUUGUAAGUCAAGAACGAGUGUGAGAGUGGAAAGUUCACACUGUGACGGUAGCUUACCAGAAAGGGACGGCUAACUACGUGCCAGCAGCCGCGGUAAUACGUAGGUCCCGAGCGUUGUCCGGAUUUAUUGGGCGUAAAGCGAGCGCAGGCGGUUUGAUAAGUCUGAAGUUAAAGGCUGUGGCUCAACCAUAGUUCGCUUUGGAAACUGUCAAACUUGAGUGCAGAAGGGGAGAGUGGAAUUCCAUGUGUAGCGGUGAAAUGCGUAGAUAUAUGGAGGAACACCGGUGGCGAAAGCGGCUCUCUGGUCUGUAACUGACGCUGAGGCUCGAAAGCGUGGGGAGCGAACAGG
This 765-nucleotide ribosomal RNA is filed under the name uncultured Streptococcus sp. Its description in RNAcentral is "bacterial SSU rRNA". It matches the Rfam family "Bacterial small subunit ribosomal RNA", at positions 28 to 776 of the family's 1533-position model. Lineage: Bacteria; Bacillati; Bacillota; Bacilli; Lactobacillales; Streptococcaceae. The record is from RNAcentral.